RNAcentral lists this ribosomal RNA (1451 nucleotides) under metagenome. RNAcentral's name for it is "bacterial LSU rRNA". It matches the Rfam family "Bacterial large subunit ribosomal RNA", at positions 1456 to 2925 of the family's 2925-position model. The record is from RNAcentral.
UAACAGAACUGUGGGGACACAGGCAGAGAGCGUGAGCCGGGAAUGGAAAGACCGGUACAAGCGAGGUAGGAGAAGAGUUGGCAAAUCCGCUCUUUAAUCUGAAGACGUGAUGUGGACUGAAAAUAAGUAGGGAAGCACGUGAGCUGACUGUCAAGAAAAGCCGCUAUUGUUUGCAGGAUACCCGUACCGUGAACCGACACAGGUGGAUGAGGGGAGAAUCCUAAGGCCGACGGGAGAAGCAUUGUUAAGGAACUCGGCAAAAUGACUCCGUAACUUCGGGAGAGGGAGUGCCAGUAAGAUGGCCGCAGAGAAUUGGCCCAAGCAACUGUUUAGCAAAAACACAGGUCUAUGCAAAACCGAAAGGUGAGGUAUAUGGGCUGACGCCUGCCCGGUGCUGGAAGGUUAAGGGGAGAGGUUAGCGCAAGCGAAGCUUUGAACUUAAGCCCCAGUAAACGGCGGCCGUAACUAUAACGGUCCUAAGGUAGCGAAAUUCCUUGUCGGGUAAGUUCCGACCCGCACGAAAGGCGUAAUGAUUUGGGCACUGUCUCAACAAUGCACCCGGUGAAAUUGAAAUACCAGUGAAGAUGCUGGUUACCUGCGCCAGGACGGAAAGACCCCAUGGAGCUUUACUCCAGCUUGAUACUGGGAUUCGGUAUUGCAUGUACAGGAUAGGUGGGAGGCUAGGAAAUGGUAACGCCAGCUGCCAUGGGGCCAAUGUUGGGAUACCACCCUUGCAGUACUGGGUUUCUAACCAGCAGCCGUGAUCCGGCUGGGGGACAGUGUCAGGUGGGGAGUUUGACUGGGGCGGUCGCCUCCGAAAGGGUAUCGGAGGCGCUCAAAGGUUCCCUCAGAAUGGUUGGAAACCAUUCGAAGAGUGCAAAGGCAGAAGGGAGCUUGACUGCGACACCGACGGGUGGAGCAGGUACGAAAGUAGGACUUAGUGAUCCGGUGGUAUAAAGUGGGAUUGCCAUCGCUCAACGGAUAAAAGCUACCCUGGGGAUAACAGGCUUAUCACUCCCAAGAGUUCACAUCGACGGAGUGGUUUGGCACCUCGAUGUCGGCUCAUCGCAUCCUGGGGCUGAAGUAGGUCCCAAGGGUUGGGCUGUUCGCCCAUUAAAGCGGUACGCGAGCUGGGUUCAGAACGUCGUGAGACAGUUCGGUCCCUAUCCGGCGUGGGCGUAAGAUAUUUGAGAGGAGCUGUCCUUAGUACGAGAGGACCGGGAUGGACUGGCCGCUGGUGUAUCUGUUGUCUUACCAAAGGCAUAGCAGAGUAGCCAAGCCGGGAAGGGAUAAACGCUGAAGGCAUCUAAGCGUGAAGCCCCCCUCAAGAUGAGAUAUCUCAUAACGUCAAGUUAGUAAGACCCCUUGAAGACGACGAGGUAGAUAGGGCAGAGGUGGAAGUGUGGUAACACAUGGAGCUGACUGUUACUAAUAGGUCGAGGGCAUAACCU